Molecule: ribosomal RNA, 442 nt
Filed under: uncultured bacterium
Lineage: Bacteria
Description: partial 16S ribosomal RNA
Rfam family: Bacterial small subunit ribosomal RNA
Source: RNAcentral
CCUACGGGUGGCUGCAGUGGGGAAUAUUGGGCAAUGGGCGCAAGCCUGACCCAGCAACGCCGCGUGAAGGAAGAAGGUUUUCGGGUUGUAAACUUCUUUUAUGAGGGAAGAGCAGAAGACGGUACCUCUUGAAUAAGCCACGGCUAACAACGUGCCAACCGCCGCGGUAAUACGUAGGUGGGAAGCGUUGUCCGGAUUUACUGGGGGUAAGGGGCGUGUAGGGGGGCUGACGAGUCAGGUGGGAAAUCCGAGGGCUCAACCCCCGCACGGCAUUUGAAACUGUUGGUCUGGAGUAUCGGAGAGGCAGGCGGAAUGCCUAGUGUAGCGGUGAAAUGCGUAGAUAUUAGGAGGAACACCAGUGGCGAAGGCGGCCUGCUGGACGACAACUGACGGUGAGGCGCGAAAGCGUGGGGAGCAAACAGGAUUAGAUACCCCAGUAGUC